Molecule: non-coding RNA, 1490 nt
Filed under: Gottschalkia purinilytica
Lineage: Bacteria; Bacillati; Bacillota; Tissierellia; Tissierellales; Gottschalkiaceae
Description: Clostridium purinilyticum Bacterial large subunit ribosomal RNA
Rfam family: Bacterial large subunit ribosomal RNA
Source: Rfam by way of RNAcentral
GGUCAAGUUAUUAAGAGCAUAGGGUGAAUGCCUUGGCACCAGGAGCCGAAGAAGGACGGGAUAAGCGCCGAAACGCUACGGGGAGUCGCAAGUAGACAUUGAUCCGUAGAUAUCCGAAUGGGGAAACCCACCUAAGGUAAACCUUAGGUAUCACUUACUGAAUACAUAGGUAAGUGAAGGUAAACCAGGGGAACUGAAACAUCUAAGUACCCUGAGGAAGAGAAAGAAACAUCGAUUUCCUAAGUAGCGGCGAGCGAAAGGGAAAGAGCCCAAACCUGUAAAAGUAAUUUUACAGGGGUUGUGGACAUAGCAUAAAAGGAGAGGCUAUUGUAGUCGAAGAGAGUUGGAAAGCUCCACCAUAGAUGGUGACAGUCCAGUAGACGAAACAAGAAGACUCCAAGCUAUGAUCCAGAGUACCACGAGACACGUGAAACCUUGUGGGAAGCAGGGGGGACCACCCCCCAAGGCUAAAUACUACCUGGUGACCGAUAGAGAAGAAGUACCGUGAGGGAAAGGUGAAAAGAACCCCGGGAGGGGAGUGAAAAAGAACCUGAAACCCUAUGUUUACAAGCAGUGGAAGUUCAUUAAAGAACGACCGCGUACUUUUUGUAGAACGGGCCAACGAGUUACGAUAUGCAGCAAGGUUAAGCACUUAAGGUGUGGAGCCGAAGGGAAACCGAGUCUUAAUAGGGCGAAUUAGUUGUAUGUCGUAGACCCGAAACCGGGUGAUCUAUCCAUGGGCAGGGUGAAACGGAAGUAAAAUUUCGUGGAGGCCCGAACCGUUUAGCGUUUAAAAGCUAUCGGAUGACCUGUGGAUAGGGGUGAAAUUCCAAUCGAACCCGGAUAUAGCUGGUUCUCCUCGAAAUAGCUUUAGGGCUAGCCUCAAGAAAGUGAAGUGGGGGUAGAGCACUGAAUAGCUAAGGGGCGCAAGGCGUUACCGAGGCUUAUCAAACUCCGAAUACCACAUUCAUGAUUCUUGGGAGUCAGACUAUGUGAGAUAAGUUUCAUAGUCGAAAGGGAAACAGCCCAGAUCAUCAGCUAAGGUCCCAAAGUACAGAUUAAGUGGGAAAGGAUGUAAGACUACACAGACAACCAGGAUGUUGGCUUAGAAGCAGCCAUUCAUUGAAAGAGUGCGUAAUAGCUCACUGGUCGAGUGGUCUUGCGCCGAAGAUUACCGGGGCUAAAAUCUGUCACCGAAGCUAUGGGAUAGAAAUAUCGGUAGAGGAGCAUUCUGUAUGGGCAGAAGUCGUACCGAAAGGAGCGGUGGACUGUACAGAAGAGAGAAUGUUGGCAUAAGUAGCGAGAGGUGGGUGAGAAUCCCACCCGUCGAAAGCCUAAGGUUUCCUGAGGAAGGCUCGUCCACUCAGGGUUAGUCGGGGCCUAAGCCGAGGACGAAAGUCGUAGGCGAUGGACAACAGGUUGAUAUUCCUGUACUACCUAUAAGCGUUUGAGAAAUGGAGUGACACAGAAGGAUAGGUUAAGCGUACCGU